This 401-nucleotide ribosomal RNA is filed under the name Pedinellales sp. RNAcentral describes it as "partial small subunit ribosomal RNA". It matches the Rfam family "Eukaryotic small subunit ribosomal RNA", at positions 582 to 975 of the family's 1831-position model. The record is from RNAcentral. Lineage: Eukaryota; Dictyochophyceae; Pedinellales.
AUUCCAGCUCCAAUAGCGUAUAUUAAUGUUCUUGCAGUUAAAAAGCUCGUAGUUGGAUUUCUGGUCGGGACGUCUGGCCGGCUCCGCAAGGGGUCGUUGCAUUGACUGUACUCGUCCAUCCUCAGGUUGACUAGCUCUGGUAUUUAUUUAUCGGUGUUAGAACGUCUGUCGUUUACUGUGAACAAAUUAGAGUGUUCAAAGCAAGGUGUACUUGAAUACAUUAGCAUGGAAUAAUAAGAUAGGACUUUGGUGGUUCUUUUUGAUAUUUUGUUGGUUUGCACGCCAAAGUAAUGAUUAAUAGGAGCAGUUGGGGGUAUUCGUAUUCAAUUGUCAGAGGUGAAAUUCUUGGAUUUAUAGAAGACGAACUACUGCGAAAGCAUUUACCAAGGAUGUUUUCAUUA